RNAcentral lists this unclassified non-coding RNA (218 nucleotides) under Glomus sp. RNAcentral describes it as "partial contains 5.8S ribosomal RNA and internal transcribed spacer 2". The stretch from base 1 to 71 matches the Rfam family "5.8S ribosomal RNA", at positions 84 to 154 of the family's 154-position model. The record is from RNAcentral. Lineage: Eukaryota; Fungi; Glomeromycota; Glomeromycetes; Glomerales; Glomeraceae.
GUGAAUCAUCAAAUCUUUGAACGCAAAUUGCACUCUCUGGUAUCCCGGAGAGUAUGCCUGUUUGAGGGUCAGUUUAAAUAAAAAUCGGUGCGGUUGCUGCCUUUCGUGGUGACGCACCGGAUUUGGGUCGUCUUGCCUUCGGUUAAGUGACCUAAAAUUUGGAUGAUGUUUUUCGGAAGGAAUUAAAUGAAUUUAAGUAAGGUUGCGAUAACGAAAAA